ACUGCGUGCACAGCUGUCUCCCUGAGCUGAGACGACGGAGAGCCGAGGUCGCGGAGGCAGAAUGUGCAAGGUGCCUGGAGGUGGGGUGCACGGUCUCCCCGAAUCCCAGCACCAAGUCAUCUCCUGCAGCAGCAGCAGCCCCAGCCUCAGGACCCCCCGUCACCGAGAUUCCAGCAGAACCGUUGGAAAGCCACCAGCUCGCCCUCAGAAACAGAUGAGGUCUGAGCUCAGACUUCCCAGCUUCCUGUCCCCGGGGCCCCGCACCCCGCGGGCGGGCUUGCACACUCGACAUCAGUGCAAAGCAUCCAGGCACAGCGGGCUGGGGCUUGUGUCUUUGGGGCCCCAUCCCUGUGGGGGGGUAGGCAGCAGUCGAGACAAAGGCAAGCGGUGAGCUGUUUUGUUCUCGGAGCAGGUUAGCUGCCCGUGUGCUUGGGGUGGGGGCAGCGAGAGUGCGUGUUGUGCGGACGGGGCCUUGUAGGGACGUUCCCCGUUAGGUGGCCUGUUGGGGGUUUAUUCUUGCAGCCCGGAGGCCCGAGGCCCCAGGUCCUCCUGAGGCUGCGAGGGAGACUGUCCCGGCCCCGCGUGGCUCCUAGUGCCGCGGUGUUCCUCCCCGGUCCCACGUGCCCCUCUCCCUGAGCACCGCUCCAUGCCGCUCGGUCUCUUCUUCGAAAACACCGGUCAUGGGGUCAGGGGCCACCCCAAUCCACUAAGGCCUCACCUUAACUACUCACACCCGCCAAGAUCGGUUUCCACGUAAGGUCACCUUCACAGAGCCUUGGGGCUUGAACACCUCUCUGGUGGAUUUAAUUCUACUCGGCUGUUACGGCCUGAAUGUUUGUGCUCCCCCAAAACUCACGUGUUGAAACCUACCCCCACGUGAUGUCGGGAGCUGGGGCCCCUGGGGGCAAUGAGGUUGUGAGCAUGGGGCCCAGAGAGGGAGCUGUCCCUGUAACAGAGGCCCCCGCAGAGCCCAGCCCCUUCCGUGCCGCGUGGACACUGCGAGAAGGCAGCUACGUCCUGGAAGACGGCUCUCACUGGACCCGGACCGUGCUGGGUCCUGACCCGGAUCUCUGCUCCGAGCUGUGAGAAAGAGGUGUGCUGUUUAUAGGCCGGUCUGUGGCCUUCUGUUACGGCACCCCGAACACACGCAGACCCAGCACAGGAGGCUUUCUCCGGAAGGGAGGCACAGACGACCCCACCGUGCCCCCCAAGGUCACCUCAGAAGGUCACUGUGCUCAGGGAGGGGCCCUUACAGAGGCGAUUCAGGGGUCAGCCAUCACCCACUCUGCCGUCCUUGACAGAUACACGUUUUUUUCUUCCCUUCUCGCUGGUGUUUUUACUCAGUGAAUAUAGUCUAGCCUCUUCUUCUGACAAAGUAGGUCAAGACUGAAGCAAGUCUUCUGGAAGACCGAAAAAGCCUCAGAGUCGGCCAACGUCGGUGACAACCCCAGGCACACCCAGCCCCAUGGGGCACAGCCCCACGUGCGGGCCAGAGAAGACCCUGGGGUCUGGGUGCCCACCACUGGUCAGGGCCCCCCCCACGGUGCCACGAGCGGGGACGCAGGGCACACAAAUCCCAGCCCGGAGGCAAGAGACAGCCGUUCAACAGUUCACUGAGUACAUGGCGGGUUGAAAUCCGUUGGCAGCACAAGUCUGGGGGGGCGGAGGGGGCGCAAAUCUUCCAGGAGGAGUCGGUGUUUGAGCUGCAACUGGGGACCCAAGCAGGGUUGGCUCCUUGAUGCGGGAUGGGGGGCAGGGAGGAUGGAACGUUCCAGAAGGCCCAUGCCAGGCCGUGUGUGGUGGGAGGUGCCAGGCGGAGAGGCUGGCAGAGCCCUGGGGAACCCCAGCAUUUAGAAGUCAGGGAGACAAGGACGAGCUGGGCAGAGCGGAGGUCAGAAGGGGAGUCACGGACGCUGAGGGCCUGAAUGUCUGAAGGAACCCGCCCCACCAUACUGGCGGUGCAGGAAGACAGCGACAGGCGGUCUCGGUGCCACACGGGGGGGGCAGCGGGGCACGCAGAGGCAGGAGGCGGCCCCUCGAAGUGAGCACCGUGAGGUGUCAGAGACCCGGCCGUCGCAGCCCGUGGAGGUGGCGUGAGACCCCCUACACCUGGGACAGCUGGCGCACGGCCAUGUCCUCGGGACUCUGACGAGGAGCAGGAGGAAGGAGGGAAACGCAGCAGGGAGCCCCCGACGAAGCAAGAGAGGGGGCGCCCAGGAUCCGUGAACAGUGCUGCCGACGGGAGAGAACGUGGCAUUUCCCGUGGUGGCCACUGCCCUCCUUCUGGCAAAUAGAACCCUGACUUUGUCCAGGACAGGGGAGGGAUGGGGGUUACCUCACAGCACAGAGUGAGAACACUGCCUGGCCACAAUCAGUGGCCGUGAAAGGACCCUCAGCAGGACACCUCCCGGGGGACCACACGUGGGAGAUGGACACAGCCUCCACCUGACCCUGGCUCAGUGAGGUGAGGUGCAGAGCUAGCCCAUGACACUGUGAUGUUCAGUGUGCAGCUAGCCUGGGAUGGGGGAUGGGGGUGGGGAGAUG
This is a long non-coding RNA of Ailuropoda melanoleuca (giant panda), 2544 nucleotides long. The record is from Ensembl. Lineage: Eukaryota; Metazoa; Chordata; Mammalia; Carnivora; Ursidae.